GGGCGUGUAGCUCAAUUGGUUAGAGCUCUGAGCUUAUACCUCAGCGGUUCCAGGUUCGAGUCCUGGCACGCCCACUA
This 77-nucleotide transfer RNA is filed under the name Candidatus Kaiserbacteria bacterium. RNAcentral's name for it is "tRNA-Ile". It matches the Rfam family "tRNA". From Rfam's summary of the family: Transfer RNA (tRNA) molecules are approximately 80 nucleotides in length. Their secondary structure includes four short double-helical elements and three loops (D, anti-codon, and T loops). Lineage: Bacteria; Candidatus Kaiseribacteriota. The record is from RNAcentral.